GAUGAACGCUGGCGGCGUGCCUAAUACAUGCAAGUCGAGCGAACGGACGAGAAGCUUGCUUCUCUGAUGUUAGCGGCGGACGGGUGAGUAACACGUGGAUAACCUACCUAUAAGACUGGGAUAACUUCGGGAAACCGGAGCUAAUACCGGAUAAUAUUUUGAACCGCAUGAUUCAAAAGUGAAAGACGGUCUUGCUGUCACUUAUAGAUGGAUCCGCGCUGCAUUAGCUAGUUGGUAAGGUAACGGCUUACCAAGGCAACGAUGCAUAGCCGACCUGAGAGGGUGAUCGGCCACACUGGAACUGAGACACGGUCCAGACUCCUACGGGAGGCAGCAGUAGGGAAUAUUGCGCAAUGGGCGAAAGCCUGACGGAGCAACGCCGCGUGAGUGAUGAAGGUCUUCGGAUCGUAAAACUCUGUUAGUAGGGAAGAACAUAUGUGUAAGUAACUGUGCACAUCUUGACGGUACCUAAUCAGAAAGCCACGGCUAACUACGUG
This 497-nucleotide ribosomal RNA is filed under the name uncultured bacterium. RNAcentral's name for it is "partial 16S ribosomal RNA". It matches the Rfam family "Bacterial small subunit ribosomal RNA", at positions 28 to 507 of the family's 1533-position model. The record is from RNAcentral.